UACGGAGGGGGCAAGCGUUGUUCGGAGUCACUGGGCGUAAAGGGCGCGUAGGCGGUGCGUAAAGUCAGGCGUGAAAGCCCCGGGCUUAACCUGGGAAUUGCGCUUGAUACUGACGUGCUAGAGAACGGGAGAGGAUGGCGGAAUUCCCAGUGUAGAGGUGAAAUUCGUAGAUAUUGGGAAGAACACCGGUGGCGAAGGCGGCGACCUGGUCCGAUACUGACGCUGAGGCGCGAAAGCGUGGGGAGCAAACAGG
Molecule: ribosomal RNA, 253 nt
Filed under: uncultured bacterium
Lineage: Bacteria
Description: partial 16S ribosomal RNA
Rfam family: Bacterial small subunit ribosomal RNA
Source: RNAcentral